UACGGAGGGGACUAGCGUUGUUCGGAAUUACUGGGCGUAAAGCGCGCGUAGGCGGACUAUUAAGUCAGGGGUGAAAUCCCGGGGCUCAACCCCGGAACUGCCCUUGAUACUGGUCGUCUGGAGUUCUGGAGAGGUGAGUGGAAUUCCGAGUGUAGAGGUGAAAUUCGUAGAUAUUCGCAGGAACACCAGUGGCUAAGGCGGCUCACUGGCCAGAUACUGACGCUCAUGCACGAAAGCGUGGUGAGCAAACAGG
RNAcentral lists this unclassified non-coding RNA (253 nucleotides) under uncultured Paracoccaceae bacterium. RNAcentral describes it as "uncultured Rhodobacteraceae bacterium contains 16S-23S intergenic spacer region". It matches the Rfam family "Bacterial small subunit ribosomal RNA", at positions 524 to 776 of the family's 1533-position model. Lineage: Bacteria; Pseudomonadati; Pseudomonadota; Alphaproteobacteria; Rhodobacterales; Paracoccaceae. The record is from RNAcentral.